RNAcentral lists this ribosomal RNA (47 nucleotides) under Penicillium crustosum. RNAcentral describes it as "partial 28S ribosomal RNA". The record is from RNAcentral. Lineage: Eukaryota; Fungi; Ascomycota; Eurotiomycetes; Eurotiales; Aspergillaceae.
CCAAAUUUUUAUCCAGGUUGACCUCGGAUCAGGUAGGGAUACCCGCU